AGUGAACGCUGGCGGUAGGCCUAACACAUGCAAGUCGAACGGCAGCACAGGAGAGCUUGCUCUCUGGGUGGCGAGUGGCGGACGGGUGAGGAAUACAUCGGAAUCUACUUUUUCGUGGGGGAUAACGUAGGGAAACUUACGCUAAUACCGCAUACGACUUACGGGUGAAAGCAGGGGAUCUUCGGACCUUGCGCGAGUGAAUGAGCCGAUGUCGGAUUAGCUAGUUGGCGGGGUAAAGGCCCACCAAGGCGACGAUCCGUAGCUGGUCUGAGAAGAUGAUCAGCCACACUGGAACUGAGACACGGUCCAGACGCCUACGGGAGGCAGCAGUGGGGAAUAUUGGACAAUGGGCGCAAGCCUGAUCCAGCCAUACCGCGUGGGUGAAGAAGGCCUUCGGGUUGUAAAGCCCUUUUGUUGGGAAAGAAAUCCAGCUGGUUAAUACCCGGUUGGGAUGACGGUACCCAAAGAAUAAGCACCGGCUAACUUCGUGCCAGCCGCCGCCGUAA
RNAcentral lists this ribosomal RNA (506 nucleotides) under uncultured bacterium. RNAcentral describes it as "partial 16S ribosomal RNA". It matches the Rfam family "Bacterial small subunit ribosomal RNA", at positions 29 to 523 of the family's 1533-position model. The record is from RNAcentral.